RNAcentral lists this long non-coding RNA (1005 nucleotides) under Equus asinus (donkey). RNAcentral's name for it is "lncRNA (ENSEASG00005036628.1)". The record is from RNAcentral. Lineage: Eukaryota; Metazoa; Chordata; Mammalia; Perissodactyla; Equidae.
CUUUCUUAGAACGCUAUGGAUCUUAUUAAACACACAUUGAGUAAGUUCAAUUUGGAUGGUUUAAAGAUAGUCAGUCUUUUAGCCCAGAUUUAAGAAGACUUGCUUGAAAAAGAUCACAAGAGCUUUUAAUGCUUGCCACAGAAAGUGAAUGUCUCCCUUUUUCUGUUUAGUACACUGCAUUCCAAAGAAUGAGAAAGGUUAUCUCAUAGGUAGCUAAUGGAAGAAAAAAGAAUGAAGACUUGAACGGAGGGUUCGUGCUUCUUUCUGUUUUAGAUGGCGGAGAUGCCGUGGAAAUGUGUCAGUAGCUAACGUUCGCUGAGCACCAACCGUGUCAGGGCUCUCAGCCCGUCUCACGGUCGGGGUACUCCAUCUCCACGAGGACCUCACGAGACAGGUGCGACGACUCUGUUUCACAUCGAAGCGUUAUUGGCAGAGCACGGGCCACCUGGAUUGAUGAAUGCUGGUGUGUGUCUGGCUGCUGAACCGCAGGACAAAAGAAACAGUCCUUAAGCCAGCAGUAAUCCAGUCUCAAUUAUCCAUCACGGACAUCUCUUAAAGUCAUGUCUUGAAGUUCAUCCACAACAUUUUUAAUUCAAAAUAUGUGCUAUUUUAAAAAAGCUGUUUACUCAAAGUUGAGGGCAGAAAAAUAUUUGAAAUUUUAAUUGCAAGCAAAGUAUUCAAAUCUGUCCUACACUUUCACUUAUGUAUCUACUUUCUUAAAAUCCAACUGCGUGGCUCUCCUUUACAAGACAAACAGGAGCAUCCUGGCUUUAGCUCUGACCUUUAGUUUAGAACCAAAGACCUAGUCGAGGAGAAGCUGUAAGUCCACUGAACUGUUCAUAGACGUGUUUGCUCCCAACCCUGGCCACUGAAAUGUAUUGUGAUUUUCCUUAUGAUUAGAAAAUAUGUGUUCAUUUUAGAAAGUACUGGAAAUAUGGGAAAAGAUAAUAAAAAUUAAAAUUCCAAACCUAGAUUCCAAACUCUAGAAAAAAUAUUCUUUUUCCG